Molecule: ribosomal RNA, 466 nt
Filed under: uncultured bacterium
Lineage: Bacteria
Description: bacterial SSU rRNA
Rfam family: Bacterial small subunit ribosomal RNA
Source: RNAcentral
GAACGCUGGCGGCAGGCCUAACACAUGCAAGUCGAGCGGGUUUUCGGACCUAGCGGCGGACGGUGAGUAAUGCGUAGGAAGCUGCCCGAUAGAGGGGAUACCAGUUGGAAACGACUGUUAAUACCGCAUAAUGUCUACGGACCAAAGUGUGGGACCUUCGGGCCACAUGCUAUCGGAUGCGCCUACGUGGGAUUAGCUAGUUGGUGAGGUAAUGGCUCACCAAGGCGACGAUCUCUAGCUGGUUUGAGAGGAUGAUCAGCCACACUGGAACUGAGACACGGUCCAGACUCCUACGGGAGGCAGCAGUGGGGAAUAUUGGACAAUGGGCGCAAGCCUGAUCCAGCCAUGCCGCGUGUGUGAAGAAGGCCUUCGGGUUGUAAAGCACUUUCAGCGAGGAGGAAGGGUGGUGUGUUAAUAGCACAUCAUUUUGACGUUACUCGCAGAAGAAGCACCGGCUAACUCUGUG